RNAcentral lists this ribosomal RNA (301 nucleotides) under uncultured bacterium. Its description in RNAcentral is "partial 16S ribosomal RNA". It matches the Rfam family "Bacterial small subunit ribosomal RNA", at positions 509 to 807 of the family's 1533-position model. The record is from RNAcentral.
CAGCCGCCGCGGUAAUACAGAGGGUGCAAGCGUUAAUCGGAAUUACUGGGCGUAAAGUGCGCGUAGGUGGUUUGUUAAGUUGGAUGUGAAAUCCCCGGGCUCAACCUGGGAACUGCAUCCAAAACUGGCAAGCUAGAGUAUGGUAGAGGGUGGUGGAAUUUCCUGUGUAGCGGUGAAAUGCGUAGAUAUAGGAAGGAACACCAGUGGCGAAGGCGACCACCUGGACUGAUACUGACACUGAGGUGCGAAAGCGUGGGGAGCAAACAGGAUUAGAUACCCCCGUAGUCCCUGUCUCUUAUAC